AGAGUUUGAUCCUGGCUCAGGAUGAACGCUAGCGACAGGCCUAACACAUGCAAGUCGAGGGGCAGCGGGGCGUGGCAACACGCCGCCGGCGACCGGCGCACGGGUGAGUAACACGUAUGCAACCUGCCCCCAACAGGGGUAUAACCCGGGGAAACCCGGACUAAUACCGCGUAGUCCGAAUGAGGGCAUCCUUUUUCGGGGAAAGCUUUUAGCGGUUGGGGAUGGGCAUGCGGCGCAUUAGCUAGUUGGCGGGGUGACGGCCCACCAAGGCGACGAUGCGUAGGGGUUCUGAGAGGAAGGUCCCCCACACUGGUACUGAGACACGGACCAGACUCCUACGGGAGGCAGCAGUGAGGAAUAUUGGACAAUGGCCGGAAGGCUGAUCCAGCCAUGCCGCGUGAAGGAUAAGGUCCUAUGGAUUGUAAACUUCUUUUGAGUGGGAGCAAUAAGGGUGUCGUGACAUCCGAUGAGAGUACCAUUCGAAUAAGCAUCGGCUAACUCCGUGCCAGCAGCCGCGGUAAUACGGAGGAUGCGAGCGUUAUCCGGAUUUAUUGGGUUUAAAGGGUGCGUAGGCGGUUUGUCAAGUCAGCGGUGAAACGCAAGGGCUUAACCCUUGACCUGCCGUUGAAACUGAUUGACUAGAAUGCGGAUGCUGUGGGAGGAAUGUGUGGUGUAGCGGUGAAAUGCAUAGAUAUCACACAGAACACCGAUUGCGAAGGCAUCUCACAAAUCCGUGAUUGACGCUGAGGCACGAAAGCGUGGGGAUCGAACAGGAUUAGAUACCCUGGUAGUCCACGCCGUAA
This 803-nucleotide ribosomal RNA is filed under the name uncultured bacterium. Its description in RNAcentral is "bacterial SSU rRNA". It matches the Rfam family "Bacterial small subunit ribosomal RNA", at positions 8 to 805 of the family's 1533-position model. The record is from RNAcentral.